Papio anubis (olive baboon) is the source of this 3346-nucleotide long non-coding RNA. The record is from Ensembl. NCBI's taxonomy places the organism in Eukaryota, Metazoa, Chordata, Mammalia, Primates, Cercopithecidae.
UGGAAAUUCAGGCUAUAAGCUUUAUGUGAUUUAAAUUUAGCUACUCACACUAAAAAUAUUCCCUUCAUCUUUUUUAUCUUCAACUCAUUACCAUUGCAAAAUCCUCUAAGCAAGCACACUCUCAUACUGAGUCACCUGCUGUAGUCUACGAAGCUCUGAUCGCUGUGGUUUGUGUUUAGGUCCAUCUGCAGAGGAUUGCAGGGUCUGGGAAAUGUUACACUCUGUACUCUUCUCCAACAUUUUCAUUAAGAAUAAAUAUUUGUAAAUCAUUAUCAAGAACAGCAUUCAAGGGGAAAACCAGGCUAAAUGACACAGUGUAAAUAAGAGGUUUGUACAGAAAUGGGUACUAAGUUUUAGAGGCAAGCAGACAGCCCCAAGUCUGAAUUGGAAUGCCUUUUUUUUAUUUUUUUAUUUUUUAUUUAUUUUUUUAUUAUUAUUACACUUUAAGUUCUAGGGUACAUGUGCAUAACGUGCAGGUUUGUUACAUAUGUAUACAUGUGCCAUGUUGGUGUGCUGCCCCCAUUAACUCGUCAUUUACAUUAGGUAUAUCUCCUAAUGCUAUUCCUCCCUCCUCCCCCAUCCCCACAAUAGGCCCCGGUGUGUGAUGUUCCCUUUCCUGUGUCGAAGUGACCUCACUGUUCAAUUCCCACCUAUGAGUGAGAAUAUGUGGUGUCUGGUUUUCUGUUCUUGCGAUAGUUUGCUGAGAAUGAUGGUUUCCAGAUGUAUAUAUGUCCCUACAAGGGACAUGAACUCAUCCUUUUUUAUGGCUGCAUAGUAUUCCAUGGUGUAUAUGUGCCACAUUUUCUUAAUCCAGUCUGUCACUGACGGACAUUUGGGUUGAUUCCAAGUCUUUGCUAUUGUGAAUAGUGCUGCAAUAAACAUACGUGUGCAUGUGUCUUUAUAGCAGCAUGAUUUAUAAUCCUUUGGGUAUAUACCCAGUAAUGGGAUGGCUGGGUCAAAUGGUAUUUCUAGUUCUUUAUCCUUGAGGAAUCGCCACACUGUCUUCCACAAUGGUUGAACUAGGAACUUGGAUUUCUAAAGUUGCCUGCUUGGCCCUUUUCCAAGUGUACUUUACUUCCUUUCAUUCCUGCUCUAAAAAAAUUUUUUUGAUGUCUAACCAAGUAACUGUUAUGUAUUUAUUUGUAUACAAUAAAAGGGUCAUGAAAAUUCUGUGUUGGGAAUCACAUCCAUGUUGCUUUCACACGUAAAUAAGUAUUAUUUUGAACAGGAGAACAUUAGUUAUAUCCUGAUUAAUGCAAUACAUACUUUCUUUGGCAGGUAUUUCCUCUGCUUUAAUAGACAAUUUCAGAAAGACAUGUUAAGGGGGAAAAAUCACAUAAUACUAAGGAUCUGAGGGCCAUAAACAUCACAUAUGUUGAGUUUGCUUUUAUUUUGUUUCCAACAGCUCUUAACCAAUGUCCCUGGCUAUAAUCUAGGUGCUAGAUGCGUUGCAAAUCCUUGAAAGUGUUUAAGAUGAAAGAGCAAUACACUUAAGAUCUUCAAAAGUUUACAUUAACAGAAUAAGCAUUAGCUCCUUUUAACACACACAACUAAAUUAACAAAUAAAUGUGUCUACUUUUAUAUAUGCCCAUAAAGCAGACUUAACAUUGAAAUUUACUAUUUUAGAUUUUCACUCCUUUAAGAGCUAUCAAUAUAGACGCAAAAGAUAGUUCACAUUUGAAAAAUUAUCUAUCUGAAGAAUAGAACCCUUAAGAGGAAAAAGAACAAGUCAUUUUACAAACUGCAACUGAAAUAGGGGAGAGAGAAAAAAAAAAAAAAACAAGUUAGAUCAAUGCGGCAACAAGCUUCCUGCCAAAACUUUUAUUGGUGACAUUUGAAAAACAAUUUUCUUAAAAUACUAUUAAUGAACAGUAUGUUGUGUUUCUCUAUUUUUACUAAUAGUUACACUACAAACUAAUGUUCAGCUCAAAUAAAUAUGUAAGAUAUGAAAUCAGAUACUAAUGUAUCAACUUAUUCUGCAGGAUAAACCUCCCCUAUACCAACCACAGGAUUACAGUUUUUCUUCUGUUUAAAACUAGGAUGUUCAGUAGAAAUGGGGUUUCUAUUUGCAGUAUUAUUACAAACCAGUUUCCUCUCACAAAUAGCUAAUAUCUAAGACCAUGACUCAAACUAUCAAAUAGGAAUAGAAAGAGAACACUCAGUUUUGAACACAAAUAGAAAAAGCUCCUAAGAAUCUUCUUUAUAGGCCACUGCUUGCUUUCAGUAAAAAUAACAUUUUCUUAAAACUUUUCAAUCUAAUUUUUAAUAGCUUGUACUUUUUAGCUACUGACAAAGCUUAUUUAUUCCUCCUUAAUCAUUUGCUCAAGUGUUAAACGAGCUUAGUUUACCAAAGUAACAACUUUUUGUCUGUGGUAUACUUCAAAAAUUAGUCGCCCUACAAUGUAGUGUCUUCAAAUUAAACAGAUGUAUACAGUUAAAAUAAUUAGUGUAGUCUCUAUAAACAAUUUCUGUUCUGGGAUUUACAUGUAGAGCUAAUGUUUACUUCAGAAUAAAACAUUGACAAACAGGGAAGGCAGAGAAUCAGAACUUCCACAGAGCUGUGCUUGACCAUAUCUUAUAGACAAAGCAGAAUUACAAUGCAUGUAACAAAAAUGUUACAAGUUUUUUUUUUUUUUAAGUUGAUAGUUACAAAUAUGGUACAUAACAAUUUUCUACUUUAUUUCAGUACAAUUUUCAACAUACAGUCUACUAUUUCUCAAGAUAUUUGAAGACUUAAAACAAAAUUUCUAUAGACUACUUGCAAACAGUAAAAUCUAAGUAAAAUGCUUACAUUCUUACUCGAAAACAAAAAUCAGGUAAAAAAAAAUGGUGGGUGCAAGUUCUGCUCUGUUGUAAUCUUACUUCAUAUCUGUUAUUCCUUUUCUUCCUUGCACCUGUCCUUCUUUUCUUCAUUAUAUUCCACGGUCUCUUCUUUAUCUCCAACAAUCCCAUCCUUUUGGUAUCUGUCAUGAGUCCAUUUAGGACUGCUAACUGAUUUUUUGAAGUUAAAGCGCCCUCUGCCACAUUGAAAAGUACCACGACCUUUUCUUCUUUUGGCCCAAUAAUCCACACCAUCAUCUCUGUCGUCAUGCAAGAAGUACUUUUUGCUCUUUGGGGUAUAUUCUGGAUCCUAUUCCUCUUCCUUCAGUCUCUUUUGAAUGGUAGUAUUUGAGUUGUUUGGACCAGUAUUUGUGCCAGCAAAAACUCCUCUGGCUCUUCCUCUGCCUCUAAUUCGAAAAAAGGUUCUUCAUGGUCAGCUAAUUCUUGCAAAACCUGAGUAUUCUUCCAUUUCAUGGUGAGUUUUAAAUUUUUCUUCUCUUUCCUUCUUACUCUCCUUUUCUUCUCU